Molecule: ribosomal RNA, 253 nt
Filed under: uncultured bacterium
Lineage: Bacteria
Description: partial 16S ribosomal RNA
Rfam family: Bacterial small subunit ribosomal RNA
Source: RNAcentral
AACGUAGGAGGCGAGCGUUAUCCGGACUUACUGGGCGUAAAGCGCACGCAGGCGGCUCGGCAAGUUGGGCGUUAAAGCUCCUGGCUUAACUGGGAGAGGUCGUUCGAAACUACCGGGCUUGAGGUUGGGAGAGGGGUGUGGAAUUCCCGGUGUAGUGGUGGAAUGCGUAGAUAUCGGGAGGAACACCAGUGGCGAAGGCGGCACCCUGGCCCACACCUGACGCUGAUGUGCGAAAGCGUGGGGAGUAAACAGG